RNAcentral lists this ribosomal RNA (492 nucleotides) under uncultured Lactobacillus sp. RNAcentral's name for it is "partial 16S ribosomal RNA". The record is from RNAcentral. Lineage: Bacteria; Bacillati; Bacillota; Bacilli; Lactobacillales; Lactobacillaceae.
CACGUAGUUAGCCGUGACUUUCUGGUUGGAUACCGUCACUGCGUGAACAGUUACUCUCACGCACGUUCUUCUCCAACAACAGAGCUUUACGAGCCGAAACCCCUCUUCACUCACGCGGUGUUGCUCCAUCAGGCUUGCGCCCAUUGUGGAAGAUUCCCUACUGCUGCCUCCCGUAGGAGUAUGGACCGUGUCUCAGUUCCAUUGUGGCCGAUCAGUCUCUCAACUCGGCUAUGCAUCAUCGCCUUGGUAACGCCGUUACCUUACCAACUAGCUAAUGCACCGCAGGUCCAUCCCAGAGUGAUAGCUAAAGCCAUCUUACAAACAAAGCCAUGUGGCUUUUGUUGUUAUGCGGUUAUUAGCAUCUGUUUCCAAAUUGUUACUCCCUCGCGUCCGGGGCUACGGUUACCUACGUGUUACCUCGACCCCGUCCGCCACUCACGUGGUGACUUCCAACGUCAAUCAGGUGACAGCACCAUCAAUCAGUUGGCCAGU